GAGUGGCGCGUGCUAUACAUGCAAGUCGAGCGGACAGAAGGGAGCUUGCUUCCCGGAUGUUUAGCGGCGGACGGGUGAGUAACACGUGGGUAACCUGCCUGUAAGACUGGGAUAACUCCGGGAAACCGGAGCUAAUACCGGAUAGUUCCUUGAACCGCAUGGUUCAAGGAUGAAAGACGGUUUCGGCUGUCACUUACAGAUGGACCCGCGGCGCAUUAGCUAGUUGGUGAGGUAACGGCUCACCAAGGCGACGAUGCGUAGCCGACCUGAGAGGGUGAUCGGCCACACUGGGACUGAGACACGGCCCAGACUCCUACGGGAGGCAGCAGUAGGGAAUCUUCCGCAAUGGACGAAAGUCUGACGGAGCAACGCCGCGUGAGUGAUGAAGGUUUUCGGAUCGUAAAGCUCUGUUGUUAGGGAAGAACAAGUGCAAGAGUAACUGCUUGCACCUUGACGGUACCUAACCAGAAAGCCACGGCUAACUACGUGCCAGCAGCCGCGGUAAUACGUAGGUGGCAAGCGUUGUCCGGAAUUAUUGGGCGUAAAGGGCUCGCAGGCGGUUUCUUAAGUCUGAUGUGAAAGCCCCCGGCUCAACCGGGGAGGGUCAUUUGGAAACUGGGAAACUUGAGUGCAAAAAAGGAGAGUGAAAUUCCCACGUGUAGCGGUGAAAUGCGUAGAGAUGGUGGGAGGAAACCACCAGGUGGCGAAAGCCGAGCUCUCUGGCUCUGUCAUCUGACGUCUGAAGGAGGCGAAAAGGCGUGGGAGGAGCGAAACAGGCAUUUAGAAUACCCUCUGGUAGUUCCCACGGCCGUUAAACGAUGAGUGCUAGCUGUUAAGGGGAUUUCCCGCCCCUUAUGCUGCAGCUAGGUCAUUUAGCACUCAGCAUGGGUGAGUUACGGUCGCAAGACUGCAAUUCUUCAAUGGAACUGAACUGAAGCCUGUCACAGUCGAUGGAUCCAUGUGAAG
RNAcentral lists this ribosomal RNA (966 nucleotides) under Bacillus sp. (in: firmicutes). RNAcentral's name for it is "bacterial SSU rRNA". It matches the Rfam family "Bacterial small subunit ribosomal RNA", at positions 37 to 956 of the family's 1533-position model. Lineage: Bacteria; Bacillati; Bacillota; Bacilli; Caryophanales; Bacillaceae. The record is from RNAcentral.